RNAcentral lists this ribosomal RNA (497 nucleotides) under uncultured bacterium. Its description in RNAcentral is "partial 16S ribosomal RNA". It matches the Rfam family "Bacterial small subunit ribosomal RNA", at positions 28 to 507 of the family's 1533-position model. The record is from RNAcentral.
GACGAACGCUGGCGGCGUGCCUAAUACAUGCAAGUAGAACGCUGAAGAGAGGAGCUUGCUCUUCUUGGAUGAGUUGCGAACGGGUGAGUAACGCGUAGGUAACCUGCCUUGUAGCGGGGGAUAACUAUUGGAAACGAUAGCUAAUACCGCAUAACAAUGGAUGACACAUGUCAUUUAUUUGAAAGGGGCAAUUGUUCCACUACAAGAUGGACCUGCGUUGUAUUAGCUAGUAGGUGAGGUAAUGGCUCACCUAGGCGACGAUACAUAGCCGACCUGAGAGGGUGAUCGGCCACACUGGGACUGAGACACGGCCCAGACUCCUACGGGAGGCAGCAGUAGGGAAUCUUCGGCAAUGGGGGCAACCCUGACCGAGCAACGCCGCGUGAGUGAAGAAGGUUUUCGGAUCGUAAAGCUCUGUUGCAAGUCAAGAACGGGUGUGAGAGUGGAAAGUUCACACUGUGACGGUAGCUUACCAGAAAGGGACGGCUAACUACGUG